Long non-coding RNA from Aedes albopictus (Asian tiger mosquito), 6087 nucleotides. RefSeq lists it as uncharacterized. The record is from RefSeq and is a predicted model, not a curated record. The transcript is spliced from 3 exons. Lineage: Eukaryota; Metazoa; Arthropoda; Insecta; Diptera; Culicidae.
AUGAAAUUUUCAAGCGAUUUAUAGAGCAUGUUAGGCGGAGUACUAGAUUAUUUGUAAUAAGCUGGAAUAGUUAGCGUUCAACUAACUUCUAUUUCUGCCAAACAGAUAAAGAUGUUGUUAUUUGCCAACAGAGUGAAAGCCUACUCAAUUGGUUCUUCUAGUACUUCAAUAUUAAGGCUUAUUUUUAACAUUUCGUUAUAAAGUCUCUGCAACUACUUUUAAACAACUUAUCGUUUGGAUUCAAAUCAAGCAUGAAGCAUUUUUCACUUUUCAACUCUAGGUACGCUACCUGUCGCUCAAGAAGCCCCCAACGAUGGACGUAACUAACUUUUUCUCGUAUCUCUUCACCGACGAUGCUCUGAUGGGCUACAACUACUCCGGAACCAACAACAUUGGCGAUUCGAAGAUGCCGAUGAGGAACUAUGAAAUUUUCAUCGAUUGUAUGAUAGAAGCAUGGGCUGAUCAUGGAUUGACGCACAUACUGCUCGAGGAGAAGAUCAAACUUGUGGUGCGAAAGCUUACCGCUCGACGUCGCAUGCAGAAGUUUCGGCAGAGAAAAUCAAUGAAAGUUUAGGACUUGUUAAAUAAACUUGAACUGUUUAAAGAACGUUGUAUAUUUUGUUAAUGACUUAAAGUUGAUAAUUAAUAUAUGAUAAUGUUAACAAUUUCUUACUAUGGAUUUCAGAUCCGUUGAAACCACGAAAAAAGGUGUUCACGAGGACGGUAGAACUGGAUGAGUGUGCUGCCGCAGAUGACGAACAGCGCUACAUGUUCAUCGUGAGUCGAAAGGGAGGUAUUCUGUUGGUGCACGAAAACCACAUAUAUCGAUCCAAUAUGCGACGUCAGGGUCCCCACAAGAACAUACUGUACUGGGAGUGUGUACACAAUCGUUCGCAGAAGUGCCGUGGGCGACUCAAGAGCGAAGGGAAUUUCCUGUUCAUUUCGAACACCAAUGGCGAGUAUUGCGUUGACGGUUGGCUUAUGAAUUUGAAUAACUAAGCAAUUGUUUUCUAAUUGUAGCCACGCACAAUCAUCCUUCAGAUUUGAAUCGAAUCAACCGAGCUAAGGUCGGAGGAGAGCUGACAUACCGCACAUUCUUUUCAUUGUUCAAAUGACAUGUUUCGUUGUUGAUAUGUAACUGUUUUCAAUUAAAUUUCAAUAGGUAAUGUCGAUGAAUCUAGUACUAUAACAUCCAUACUAAUUUUCGAUAUUGUUGACACGUUUUCGUCGUUUUAUUCUAGUACUGCACAUGCUCGUCAUUCACCGUUGGAAGAACUGUUCAACUAUGAUGAAAGUUGAACCAACUAAUUUUAUCAACGUCUUGUAACUAUACUUCCAGUUCAGGAAACGUCCCCGACAUUCGAUGCGCCACAGUAUGUCAUUAGCAAGUGUGGAACCGUUCAGCUUCGGCACAAUGGUCAUCUUUUCAAUCGACACGUCAAACGAGACGAUAUCACAUACUGGCGCUGCUCGCAGUUUACCGUGUACAAGUGUCGCGCUCGGAUUAAGUCCGUACUCGAAGAGUUUCUCAUGUUGAACGUGGAACAUAACCACCAGGUAGUGGCCUCACCCAGAGCGUACGGAUCUUUAAAGCGAUUGAAACAACAACUAGCAAGAUAUUAAUAAACUACACUCGUCUUUGGAAUUCAAUCUGGUAUUUCACUUUAUUAAAUUUAGGAAUUCUCGUACACCAAGUUUUGCAUUGAUCUAAUGAUUCCAACCCAUAUUUCAGAUGUCUAUGUCCGAUACGUUUCCGGAUUUCGAGGAAGUCGCAAGCUAAAAGUAGGAGAGUUCAGCUACACCAAGAACAAGGAAAGUGCAAACAAAACGUACUGGUCUUGUGCGAGGGCAGGCAUGAGCAAAUGUAAAGCACGGCUUCUAACCUACACACUGCGAAAUGAGGUAGAAAACUUGGUGGUUCGAUACCCAACACACAACAAUGACCCAUUCUAGUACUGCAAUGUUAUAUCAUACUCUGUAAAUAAAACAUUAUUGAAUAGUGGAAGCUAUGGACUUUUCAUCUAUGUCGUAAAUCUUUAUUACAUUGAAGCAUGGCUAAUUGGUUCGUUUCGAUUCCAUUUUAGUGUUUAAAAUUGUUAACAUUGAAGAAGUGGAAGAUGAUCAACCCAAGGAAAUAUACUUCACCGUCGGGCAACGUGGUUGCGUUUUGCUGCACGUUGAUGGCUAUAAAUUCGUAAAGAAUCGUAAGGGGGCAUACAAAACCUAUUGGAUCUGCGCUAAAAAGGGAAGUACAGCCUGCAAAGCUAGAGUCAUCACCCCGGCAAACAGUGAGGAGAAAAAGGUUCCCACGCUGAUAGCCCGCAGCGGAACACAUAAUCACCCUGUAUUCGUAGAGCGAAAAUCCCGCAGUUCUGCUACACAUAGGAUUUUACUUUUCGAAGACCCAUAGUUAAAUAAAUUUAUCUCAACUGAAACUUUGUGUAUCGUGCAUUCGUUUUGAAUCCUAAAGAGUGUCGUUUUUGCAUUAGUUUUGGAUUAAAGGAUUUCUAUUUUCCUUUAUAGAUGGCAACGACGUUGACCAGAUUUACUUCAUUGCAGAGAUCAUCGGUUCUGCAGAGGGAAUGAAAACUGUGAAAAUACCCGCAAAGAAGCAAUGUAGAUCCAAAUCCGCAACGAUGCCUUCGGCAAACAAUGAAAUGUUCCAUUUUGAAAGCGAUGGUUCACCUUCGAAGCCCACCUAUACAACCGGCCGGGGGAAUAACGUUCUGAAUUACCAGGGCCACCGCUACAUCAAGAACAAUGCGCACAGCGGGAAAAUUUACUGGAAGUGUACCAAAUGGCACAGUGGGUGCAAAGGACGUGCCAUUACCAACGUGCUGAUUCCGGGCUUGGUUGUUCUGAAGAAUACGCACAACCACGAACCAUCGUAAUUUCAUCAACGGCGGUUUUGAUCUUAGCCAAAUAAAAAUGAACAGAAAAUAUCGUCCUUCCUCAUAUUUUCCAACCGUGAUUUUUAAGUAAUAUUUGUUUAGUUAUCUUGAGUUCAUAAGUUUCCGCAAUACCAAUGGUUGAGAAGUCAGUUUCUUUAUGAACUUUAAAGUUUCUUGAGAACCUCUUGUUGAAAAAAUCGCCGCAAACACAGUUUCAAUGAUCUUUUAAUUUAUUGUUUAAAACUAGUACUACGUGAAACGGUGAUGAAUCGUCAUGUAGCAAAAACCCCAGUAAAAUAGUGAUAAUUUGCGCUGCAAUCGUUUUAUGAGUUUCCAUUUCACGUAGUCUCUAAUGUUUAUCCAAUCUAGUACUAUAUCGAAUAAUGCAUCAACUCUUAUACAGUUUAGCGCCCUUUCAUACCAACUUUAUGCACUAGUUCCAAUCGCAAUCACUUCUUGCAUCGCCUAAUUUUAGCCGUGAAACAUCCAGUCAAAGCGAUUGGUACUUGGUUGUGGAUAACGGAAUAACAACAUGCAGUACUGGACGCGCAAUUAGUACUACAAAUGCAAGCUUAGUUGUGACCGACGAAAUCAAUCUAUCACCAUGAGACGUCAUCGGGCGUCGUCGGAGGCAGUAGUAGUAGUAAUUAACUGGCCCACGGUACCACGACAGGUGAAAUUCCUUAACAAUACCUUCCUCAGAAGAAGCAGCAGACCAUUGGCUGUCACAGGAUUCUUCGAACAAUCUGUACAGUCUAGAUCAUGAUCAAACAAGAGAUAAUAAAACUGUUGUUUUGAGCUAUUAUUGUUCGUUAAGUUUUGUAAUACAUGAUUACUCUAGUACUUAACAGUAAUUCCUUCAAAACAUGACGUUCUAUCAUUUUCCACAGAAUCCUUCGCCAGGAGGGAGAUUUAUGAACGGUUUUUGCUUCCGAAAGCCGGAAUGGAAGUGGCCCGGUUCGGGAUCAGCCAACGAGGAGCGAAGAAACUGAUCUGCCAUGGAUACGAGUACGUCAAGGACCGAGACUUUCCGGAUUCGACCAAUUGGCGCUGUGCUUUGUUCCGUCGGCAGAAGUGUCGCGCCCGUGCCAUUACCAAAAUCAUUGACGGUAUCACCUACGUAAGGCUUACGAACGAUGCCCACAGCCACGAUGUCCGGAUGUACCGGAGGAAUCCAGUGAUUAUUACGAAAGCGGACGAAAUGGAGUCUGCAUAAGAAAGAAAGUAGUUUCUUUGUUGAAUUAUUGUGAGAAAAAUAUACGUAUAUCAGAAUGGGUUCAUUGUCCUGUUUAAACUAUGUUUCCUUUAGUGGUUCCAAUGACGUACUAGAUUACUACUGCACUAAUACGAACUAUUCGCAUUUUUAGGUGUUUUCGAACCGGCUGUAUUCGGAACUACUCGUCGUGGUCAACAGAAACUAAUACACAAUGGGCAUGCGUACACCAAGGAUCGACAGUCGGCGAAGACUUGCAACUGGAAAUGUUCCCUCUUUACGCGGUACAAGUGUAAGGCUCGUGCCGUUACGCGGGACAUCAAUGGCGUGGUGUACGUGAAAGUCACCAACACGUUACACUACCACCCGGUGGAGCAGUACAAGAUCAACUACCGAAGGCUGGCCGUCAACCCAAUGAGUUUGGCGAACACUUUUAUCCCGCAUGUCAAGGAUGAGUCGUUUUGAGAUGUGCAUGUAUUAGUUAUAAGCAAGAGUAGGGUUUCUCGUCGCAAAUAAAUUGUGCUUUAGUGUUAUUCUAGUACUUCAGUAGAUAUAUUCACCUUGAUGACGUUAGAUGACCUCCGAUGACAAAUUAUUAUUUACCAGGAGUAGAAAUGAUUCUACUGUAGUUCUAGUACGUCAUUGUCAUACACUAAACUAUUCUGUACUUUUAGAUGACAAAGCUGUUUUCACCGAGCGAGCCCUGUACGAGUACACCUCCCGAGGAACGCAGCGCUUGCUUCAUGGCGGGUAUUACUUUAGCAAAAACAAAACCAACGAAUCGAGCGGACGGGUGAACUGGAAGUGCCAAUUUUACCAACGGCUGCGCUGCAAAGCAAGGGCCAUCACGAAAAAUAUCAACGGAAACGAAUACGUGCGCGUCACUCACGAAGAGCACACCCAUCGCCAGGAUCUCACCGAGGAUGAGUUCCGUCGGCCCAAACGGAAAAGAGAUUUCUGAGUUAAGAAGUUUGGGAAAGUAACUGCGACACAAUCAUUUAAUGUAGAAUUGCAUGCCAAUGAGUUUUAAUAAAAACUUAUUUAUUCUUCAUUGUAUGAAAUUACUCUCCGUAAUGGUGUUGUUCUAGUACCUCGUUUUUAGUAAUAGCCUAAUAGUUUAGAACGACCUCAUCAAAUUAUUAUUUUCUUGUUCACUGAGGAGUAACUUGAGCUAUUACCAAUUUAAAUUUAUUUUCAGGCUGUUUCAGCUUGAAAAAAAAAGAAAUGCAUCGAAGCGAUUGUGUAAAUCUAGUACUUCAAUAGAAAAAAAAACCUUAUAACUGCCGAAAGAACCCAUUUGCUCAAAAGAAGAUGACAUUCUAAUCCAUAUUUUAUCAUAUUUACAUUACUCUAACCUAUUCAUAAUGUUUCAUCCAACCUUUCCCAAACAGUUAAACUAAAAAUUGUUCAAUAUUCGACACGCAAAUCGGACGAGCACUACGACAAUGAUGAUGAAGACGACGGAGAGGAUGACGAAGCGAAGACCCAAUUCCCGUUGGACCUGAAGAUGGUGGUAGGCCGCAAGGGACGCCCAAUGCUGCUGAUGGGUGGCCACGCCUUUUUCCGCAACAAUACCCACAAGAGCAAAACCUACUGGCUGUGUGCCAAAAGCCGUUCGCUGAAGUGUCGCGCCCGAAUCAUUACCCUGGACGGCAGUGCCGGACUGAUCCUCAAGAAUCAGGUCCAUAAUCAUCCAGCGGCGUUGGAAAGGUCCUAGGCGAUGAUAAGAGUUAUCGAGUUCGUGUUGUGACAUAACGUUCCGGUACUUGAACAAAAUUUUGGUUUUCUCUACAUAAUACGUUGUGUAGGCCAGUGUUGGGAAUACUCACUUGUAAGAGUGAUAAUUACUUGCUUCUAUCUCAGUCCAGAAGCAUACUUUCAAAAAAUAAUGUUUGAAGGGCUUUUAGAUUGUAGUUGAAUCUAAAAGUUUGCCGAAUAAAGUAAAGGACGCAGACGCAUACCAAAAUUGUGAGAGAGCUGUGA